AAUGAACGCUGGCGGCAUGCCUUACACAUGCAAGUCGAACGGCAACAGGACUUCGGUUGCUGUCGAGUGGGGGACGGGCGCGUAAUACAUCGGAACGUACCCGACCGUGGCGGUACAGGGAGCGAACGCUUCGCUAAUAGCGCAAAUGCUCUACGGGCGAAAACCGUGGACUCCAAUGCCUUGCGCGGACGGUGGGGCUAGGGGCAGCUUAGGUCGCAUUAGGGUUUAAGGCUUACCACGCCGAAGAUCUGCAGCGGGUCUGAGAGGAAGACAAGCCACACUAGGACUGAGACGCGGCCCAGACUCGUCCGGGAGGCAGCAGUGGGGAAUUUUGGACAGGGGGCGGAGGCCUGAUCCAACCAUGCCACGUGGAGGAAGAGAGCCUUGGGGUUGUAAACUGCUUCUGUACGGAACGAAAAGAAUCUUGCUAAUAAAGAGAGUCCAUGACGGUACCGGAAGAAUAAGCACCGGCUAACUACGUG
Molecule: ribosomal RNA, 482 nt
Filed under: uncultured bacterium
Lineage: Bacteria
Description: partial 16S ribosomal RNA
Rfam family: Bacterial small subunit ribosomal RNA
Source: RNAcentral